GUUAUAAUUUUUUUUUGUAAUAUUUUUUCAUAUUGAAAGUAUUUGAAUCGUGAAGAAUUAUGAUAACUGUUAUGAUGAAAAUUUUUUCAAAAAUAGACAAAUGAUUCAAUAUUCGCACUUCCAAAGAAAAUUGAACGUGAUCAAAAUAAUGAACAAAACGGUGGAAAUUUGAAAUGAACCAAGAAUGCUGUUGCAAUUACGGCGUGUUCUAAAGAUAUGCAUGUGUCAUUCAUAUUUAAUAUGAAAGUGCUGCAUACUAAUGUUUCAAAAUAAAGAAAUUAGAGAGCAACAGCUAACAGCUAUCGAGAUAAAUGGUACAUCAAAAUUCAGUAUGGAAGAUGACUACAAAUGGAAAAUAUCGGGAAACGAAUUUUAGAUUCACACGUUUGUUCUUCAUUAAUAUUCAGUCUAUCACCCACAAAUGUAAUAGAGUCAUUGGCAAACAUUGUAUGAGAGAUAAAAGUAGAAAAGAGAUUAAUUAAAUGCGAAGAUCGUUUUAAAAUCUGAAAAAAUUUCUUAUUAAAUUAAGAUUAAAUGGACCUGUAAAAUUAAAUCUAUAUAUAUAUU
Molecule: long non-coding RNA, 567 nt
Organism: Apis dorsata (giant honeybee)
Lineage: Eukaryota; Metazoa; Arthropoda; Insecta; Hymenoptera; Apidae
Exons: 3
Source: RefSeq, a predicted model, not a curated record